GAUCACGUAAAAUUUUAAUAGUCGAACAGACUAAAAUUUAUUUAGCCCCUUCACCAAAAAUAAAAAUUUAAUUCAACAUCGAGGUCGCAAACUUAAUUAUUAAUAAGAACUUGUUAAUCAAAUAACGCUGUUAUCCCUAGAGUAACUUCCCUAUAUAAUAUUUAAUUACUUUUAUAAAAAUAUGUACUCUUCAAAUGUUACCCCAACCAAAAAUUUCAUAAAUUUUAAAAGCUUCUAGGGUCUUCUCGUCCCAAAGAUUUAUAAAAGCAUUUUUACUUUUAAUUUAAAUUCAAACUCAUUAAAUAAAACCUUCUUUCUAGUUUCUACCCUUCAUUCCAGCUCCCAAUUAAAAAG
Molecule: ribosomal RNA, 354 nt
Filed under: Fonckia gallardoi
Lineage: Eukaryota; Metazoa; Arthropoda; Arachnida; Opiliones; Gonyleptidae
Description: partial large subunit ribosomal RNA
Source: RNAcentral